GAGUUGGGAUUGCCAUGGGCGCAGCCUGAUGCAGCCAUGCCGCGUGUAUGAAGAAGGCCUUCGGGUUGUAAAGUACUUUCAGUCGUGAGGAAGGUGGUGUUGUUAAUAGCAGCAUCAUUUGACGUUAGCGACAGAAGAAGCACCGGCUAACUCCGUGCCAGCAGCCGCGGUAAUACGGAGGGUGCGAGCGUUAAUCGGAAUUACUGGGCGUAAAGCGCAUGCAGGUGGUUUGUUAAGUCAGAUGUGAAAGCCCGGGGCUCAACCUCGGAAUAGCAUUUGAAACUGGCAGACUAGAGUACUGUAGAGGGGGGUAGAAUUUCAGGUGUAGCGGUGAAAUGCGUAGAGAUCUGAAGGAAUACCGGUGGCGAAGGCGGCCCCCUGGACAGAUACUGACACUCAGAUGCGAAAGCGUGGGGAGCAAACAGGAUUAGAUACCCUGGUAGUCCACGCCGUAAACGAUGUCUACUUGGAGGUUGUGGCCUUGAGCCGUGGCUUUCGGAGCUAACGCGUUAAGUAGACCGCCUGGGGAGUACGGUCGCAAGAUUAAAACUCAAAUGAAUUGACGGGGGCCCGCACAAGCGGUGGAGCAUGUGGUUUAAUUCGAUGCAACGCGAAGAACCUUACCUACUCUUGACAUCCAGAGAACUUUCCAGAGAUGGAUUGGUGCCUUCGGGAACUCUGAGACAGGUGCUGCAUGGCUGUCGUCAGCUCGUGUUGUGAAAUGUUGGGUUAAGUCCCGCAACGAGCGCAACCCUUAUCCUUGUUUGCCAGCGAGUAAUGUCGGGAACUCCAGGAGACUGCCGGUGAUAAACCGGGAGGAAGGUGGGGACGACGUCAAGUCAUCAUGGCCCUUUACGAGUAGGGCUACACACGUGCUACAUGGCGCAUACAGAGGGCAGCCACUUGCGAAAGUGAGCGAUCCCAAAAAGUGCGUCGUAGUCCGGAUUGAGUCUGCACUC
This 959-nucleotide ribosomal RNA is filed under the name Vibrio sp. DHHS14. RNAcentral describes it as "bacterial SSU rRNA". It matches the Rfam family "Bacterial small subunit ribosomal RNA", at positions 352 to 1312 of the family's 1533-position model. Lineage: Bacteria; Pseudomonadati; Pseudomonadota; Gammaproteobacteria; Vibrionales; Vibrionaceae. The record is from RNAcentral.